Gadus macrocephalus (Pacific cod) is the source of this 1757-nucleotide long non-coding RNA. RefSeq lists it as uncharacterized. Lineage: Eukaryota; Metazoa; Chordata; Actinopteri; Gadiformes; Gadidae. The record is from RefSeq and is a predicted model, not a curated record. The transcript is spliced from 2 exons.
AACUUAUCUGGAGAGUGGGAGGGAGGGCGAAAGAAAAAAAGAGAGAGAGAGAAAGAGAGAGAAGCCCUGUUGUUUGUAAUGCACCAAAGUGUCUCUCAAAGGGCUUCACGGACUACAUUUCAGGGAUACUCUCCUGCCCUAGCACACCCAGGAGCAAGCUAAAACUCUUAUUAUCAAGGAAUAAACCAUCCAAGGAAGAAACACAGAGUGAGGGGUGCCAUACCAGACAGACAUGAUCGUGACCUUCAUAGUGAUACUCACAGGCCAGGGGCAGAGGAACAAAGUCCAUGCAUUUCCUACACAUGAUGGAGCCACACAGACGGCAGUGGUGCCGCCGGUUCCUGAUGUUGAACUUGUUCCCACAGUCGGGACAGAAGGGCACGUCCGAGUCGCUCACCCAUGGCACCACCGACUUCUCUAUGGCUGUGGAGGGGCGAUAGCUUUAGAAAUGGAAGAUGAGAUGGAUCUCAUAUAUUUAAAUAUGAUGGAAGUGAACAAACCUCUGAUUUUAGCUACAUCCGAGUUGGUCCUAUCGAAAGAUGUGAGCUGAAACAAUCGGGCCACAAGUAAGAUGACAUUAUUGCAUGGAUAGAAUGGAAAUUAUAAUUCAAAUGAAUAGUGGUUAGCGAUUUCACAACCACACCUUUUCUAGUCUGAUGAGGAGCUUGUUGACUUCGAUCACAUAGUGGUCUAUCCUGGCUGCUCUGUGUUUUUUGAAAUAGUCCUGAUGAUUUCUGGUUGCACCUGCAAGAAGAAGUUUAAUUAAUUAUCCAGCAAGACCAGCAGUCUGAUGUCAAUCAAUGCCUAUGUAUUGUAAAUCUGAUAUAUUUGAAUCCUUCGUUUCCACUUUCUAAAAUGCAUGUUUAGUUUGCAACACAUCUAUUAUGUAGUUCUGACUGAGUCAUUAUUAGUUAUGUAAAAAUUGGAUAAUUGGUACAUUAAUAUUUCAAAAUGGAUCAGAGAUUCAAGCCGUCUGGCAAAAUAACAUUAAAUCGACUCUCUUAACCAGUGCAUGUCUCCAGCCUUACCCAGCUCCUGGGGCUCCCACAUGUAUGGAUCGACUCCGCCGUAGUAGAAUGACUCAUAGCUUCCAGUGUCAGCUCGGUCAUCUCCAUCCCUCUUCAGCAGUUUGUCUUUGGCUUUCUUAGCCUUUUGAACCAAACCUGCACACGCACAGAUGGUGAUGAUGCUGCUUCAAUCCUACUCCAACCCUAAUGCAUCCAAUAUCACUCAAUGCACAACUAUGCAAUAAUUAUGCUGUUACCCACACAUUCAGCCAGUGCUGGAAUUAUCUGCUUUUCACUUAUCUGAUAAGCCUUAAAAUACUUUCCGCAUCCCUCCGUUUCAUCCGAUUAGAAUCUAGGCUACGUUCUACAGAAGUAUUCUGAGGUGAGUUGACCAUCUUACUAAAUUCAGGAUAAAUUCACUCUAACCUAGAUACGAUUAUCACAGAUAUUACAGGCACUUACUCUUGAGUUGGCCCCUAACAUGACGGUCGUCUCCAGAGUGCUCCUCCUCAUAGUGGUCCUGGAGUUGGUAGAAGGACUGCAGAUCCUUAUGGCACAGUGGGCAAAUGAAUCCCUCCUUCACUUCCCCUGUGCCUUCAAAGGGGGGUGGAUAACUAGAUGCCAUGGGAGGAAUCGGCUGUGGAUGAAGCCCUGAUAGACGCGAUGCACGGUGGGAAAGGCGUUUCCAUUCAUUCCACCCGCCACCGGGUGUUUACGCCAACACAGGACAGUUCCAUCCCAGCCAGGGAA